Molecule: ribosomal RNA, 253 nt
Filed under: uncultured bacterium
Lineage: Bacteria
Description: partial 16S ribosomal RNA
Rfam family: Bacterial small subunit ribosomal RNA
Source: RNAcentral
UACAGAGGUCUCAAGCGUUGUUCGGAUUCAUUGGGCGUAAAGGGUGCGUAGGCGGCGCGGUAAGUCGGGUGUGAAAUUUCGGAGCUUAACUCCGAAACUGCAUUCGAUACUGCCGUGCUUGAGGACUGGAGAGGAGACUGGAAUUUACGGUGUAGCAGUGAAAUGCGUAGAGAUCGUAAGGAAGACCAGUGGCGAAGGCGGGUCUCUGGACAGUUCCUGACGCUGAGGCACGAAGGUCAGGGGAGCAAACGGG